Molecule: ribosomal RNA, 582 nt
Filed under: uncultured bacterium
Lineage: Bacteria
Description: partial 16S ribosomal RNA
Rfam family: Bacterial small subunit ribosomal RNA
Source: RNAcentral
UGAGGAAUAUUGGUCAAUGGACGAGAGUCUGAACCAGCCAAGUCGCGUGAAGGAAGAAUGUCCUAUGGAUUGUAAACUUCUUUUGCAGGGGAAUAAAGUGCGGCAUGCGUGCUGUAUUGCAAGUACUCUGCGAAUAAGGAUCGGCUAACUCCGUGCCAGCAGCCGCGGUAAUACGGAGGAUCCGAGCGUUAUCCGGAUUUAUUGGGUUUAAAGGGUGCGUAGGUGGAUGGAUAAGUCAGCGGUGAAAUUUUUGAGCUUAACUGAAGAAUUGCCGUUGAAACUGUUUAUCUUGAGUGCAAAUGAGGUAUGCGGAAUGUGUUGUGUAGCGGUGAAAUGCAUAGAUAUAACACAGAACACCGAUUGCGAAGGCAGCGUACUGGGAUGCAACUGACACUGAGGCACGAAGGCGUGGGGAUCAAACAGGAUUAGAUACCCUGGUAGUCCACGCAGUAAACGAUGAAUACUAGCUGUUUGCGAUAUACAGUAAGCGGUACAGCGAAAGCGUUAAGUAUUCCACCUGGGGAGUACGACCGCAAGGUUGAAAACUCAAAAUGAAUUGACGGGGGUCAUAGCUGUUUCCUG